Molecule: long non-coding RNA, 657 nt
Filed under: Oryza sativa Indica Group (long-grained rice)
Lineage: Eukaryota; Viridiplantae; Streptophyta; Magnoliopsida; Poales; Poaceae
Description: lncRNA OsPr106_06g0010950
Rfam family: MIR444 microRNA precursor family (bases 245-409)
Source: RNAcentral
ACGACCCCACUAAUCUCUCCCUCUCCCUCGUCGAAAUUCCAAUUCCACUCGCCUCGCCUCGCCUCCCCCACCUUCCGAUUCGCUCGCGUAUUAUAUUGCGCCGUCUCGAGACUUCUAGAUCCUUCCAGUGGAACCCGCCGCCGCUUCUGGAUCCUUCUCCUGCCCCUCAUUUUAAGCGCCACCUCCCCCGCCCCCCCACGCCACCGACCGAGCUGCCGGCGGAGGUGCGAAGCCAUCGAGUUAUUGCAUAUGGUGGCACCAAGCAUGAGGUUACAACUGCAUUACUUGCAAGGGAAUCACAAGUCACAAGAAACACAUGUUAUUACAAUGGAUAAUCAAUGGGUCAUCAUACUAUGACUUUCUUGCAAGUCGUGCAGUUGUUGCCUCAAGCUUGCUGCCUCCGUCUGUCAGAACUGCAACUAAGCUAGGAAGUUCAAUCAGGUUUUUUUUUAUCUUGAACAGUAAAUUCAAUGUUGACAAUUAAUGUAGUAAUGAUUUCUUAAGGAAUGAAUACUAAUUUUGUGUUCAUGGGGAUCGAUAGUCUUUUUUAAACGUCAUGUUUAAACAAGAUCAUUACUGGUGCUUUGAGUGGAGCCUAAUACUGCAUUACUAUUUAUUGCUUGCUGUUAUAGUUUGUUACGUACCAUGUCCAUUCCU